GACCUCAAAUCAUCAUGCCCCUUAUCUCUAGGGCUACACACGUGCUACAAUGGUGAGUACAAAGAGAUGCAAGACCGCAAGGUGGAGCCAAACUCAAAAACUCAUCCCAGUUCGGAUUGUAGGCUGCAACUCGCCUACAUGAAGCCGGAGUUGCUAGUAAUCGCGAAUCAGCAUGUCGCGGUGAAUACGUUCCCGGGCCUUGUACACACCGCCCGUCACACCAUGAGAGUUGGUAACACCCGAAGUCCGUGAGGCAACCGUAAGGAGCCAGCGGCCGAAGGUGGGAUUGAUGAUUGGGGUGAAGUCGUAACAAGGUA
Molecule: ribosomal RNA, 317 nt
Filed under: uncultured bacterium
Lineage: Bacteria
Description: bacterial SSU rRNA
Rfam family: Bacterial small subunit ribosomal RNA
Source: RNAcentral